RNAcentral lists this ribosomal RNA (501 nucleotides) under uncultured bacterium. RNAcentral's name for it is "partial 16S ribosomal RNA". It matches the Rfam family "Bacterial small subunit ribosomal RNA", at positions 30 to 523 of the family's 1533-position model. The record is from RNAcentral.
AUUGAACGCUGGCGGCAUGCCUUACACAUGCAAGUCGAACGGCAGCACGGGUGCUUGCACCUGGUGGCGAGUGGCGAACGGGUGAGUAAUACAUCGGAACGUACCUUAUCGUGGGGGAUAACGCAGCGAAAGCUGUGCUAAUACCGCAUACGCCCUGAGAGGGAAAGCGGGGGAUCGCAAGACCUCGCGCGAUUAGAGCGGCCGAUGCCUGAUUAGCUUGUUGGUGGGGUAAAAGCCCACCAAGGCGACGAUCAGUAGCUGGUCUGAGAGGACGAUCAGCCACACUGGGACUGAGACACGGCCCAGACUCCUACGGGAGGCAGCAGUGGGGAAUUUUGGACAAUGGGGGCAACCCUGAUCCAGCAAUGCCGCGUGAGUGAAGAAGGCCUUCGGGUUGUAAAGCUCUUUUGUCAGGGAAGAAACACCGGCUCUAACACAGUCCGGGAAUGACGGUACCUGAAGAAGAAGCACCGGCUAACUACGUGCCAUCCGCCGCCGUAA